This 468-nucleotide ribosomal RNA is filed under the name uncultured bacterium. RNAcentral describes it as "partial 16S ribosomal RNA". It matches the Rfam family "Bacterial small subunit ribosomal RNA", at positions 28 to 507 of the family's 1533-position model. The record is from RNAcentral.
GACGAACGCUGGCGGCGUGCUUAACACAUGCAAGUCGAACGGAAAGGCGCUGCUUUUGUGGGGUGCUCGAUAGGCGAGCAGGUGAGUAAAACGUGAGUAAACUGCCCUUGUCUUUGGGAUAACUUCAGGGAACUGGGGCUAAUACCGGGUAGGAGCUCCUGCUGCAUGGGGGGGGUUGGAAAGUGUCGGCGGUUGGGGAUGGACUCGAGGCUUAUCCGCUGGUUGGGGGGGUAGGGGAGUUCAAAGGCUUUGACGGGUAGGCGGCCUGAGAGGGGGACCGGCCACCUUGGGCCUGAGAUACGGCCCAGACGCCUACGGGAGGCAGCAGUGGGGAAUAUUGCGCAAUGGGCGGAAGCCUGAUGCAGCGACGCCGCGUGCGUGAUGACGGCCUUCGGGUUGUAAACCACUUUCGCCUGUGCCGAAGCGUGAGUGACGGUAAUGGGUAAAGAAGCACCGGCUAACUACGUG